Molecule: non-coding RNA, 119 nt
Organism: Pteropus alecto (black flying fox)
Lineage: Eukaryota; Metazoa; Chordata; Mammalia; Chiroptera; Pteropodidae
Source: Rfam
GUCUACAGCCAUGCCACCCUGAGCAAGCCUAAUCCUGUCUAAUCUCAGAAGCUAAACUGGGUAGGGCCUGGUUAGUACCUGGAUGGGAGACUAUCUAGGAAGACCAGGUGCUGUAGGUG